Molecule: ribosomal RNA, 492 nt
Filed under: uncultured bacterium
Lineage: Bacteria
Description: partial 16S ribosomal RNA
Rfam family: Bacterial small subunit ribosomal RNA
Source: RNAcentral
AUCGAACGCUGGCGGCAUGCUUUACACAUGCAAGUCGAACGGUAACAGGCCUUCGGGUGCUGACGAGUGGCGAACGGGUGAGUAAUGCAUCGGAACGUGCCCAGAGGUGGGGGAUAACGCAGCGAAAGCUGUGCUAAUACCGCAUGUGAUCUGAGGAUGAAAGCGGGGGACCAGGCAGCAAUGUUUGGCCUCGCGCCUUUGGAGCGGCCGAUGUCAGAUUAGGUAGUUGGUGGGGUAAGGGCCUACCAAGCCGACGAUCUGUAGCUGGUCUGAGAGGACGACCAGCCACACUGGGACUGAGACACGGCCCAGACUCCUACGGGAGGCAGCAGUGGGGAAUUUUGGACAAUGGGCGCAAGCCUGAUCCAGCAAUGCCGCGUGCGGGAAGAAGGCCUUCGGGUUGUAAACCGCUUUUGUACGGAACGAAAAGGCUCUGGCUAAUACCUGGGGCUGAUGACGGUACCGUAAGAAUAAGCACCGGCUAACUACGUG